Molecule: long non-coding RNA, 347 nt
Organism: Amphiprion ocellaris (clown anemonefish)
Lineage: Eukaryota; Metazoa; Chordata; Actinopteri; Pomacentridae
Source: Ensembl
GGCAGCCAGUGGUGCCCUUUUUUUCCACUGAGCACCUGCCCCCCCAAAAUGUCUGUGCACACCGCUGGUGAGGGGUCAUGUAGGAUCCUGUGAGCAGUGCGGGUUAUUUGCUGGUUGCAAUAUACAGAAAGGGCUCUAACAGGGUGUCCGAUGGUGAAUGUGGUGCAACAGAUUUAUUUUCCUCACUCAGGACACGGGGACCCUACGUUUUGUUGUUCCAGUUAACGAACGUCAAGGUAUUUGAUUGGAGAAGCCACAGCCCACUUGGCGCUUUCAGCCACAUUGUUCUCCGGGAUUAAAGUCACAGGAUUUCCACCUGAUGUUUUGCAUGACUUGUUUGAAGGUGU